RNAcentral lists this ribosomal RNA (253 nucleotides) under uncultured bacterium. RNAcentral describes it as "partial 16S ribosomal RNA". It matches the Rfam family "Bacterial small subunit ribosomal RNA", at positions 524 to 776 of the family's 1533-position model. The record is from RNAcentral.
GACAGAGGUGGCAAACGUUGUUCGGAUUUACUGGGCGUAAAGGGUGCGUAGGUGGUUAGGUAAGACCUGUGGGAAAGACCUGGGCUUAACCCAGGAAGGUCGCAGGUGACUGCCUAGCUAGAGGGCGGGAGAGGAGCGCGGAAUUCCCGGUGUAGCGGUGAAAUGCGUAGAGAUCGGGAGGAAGGCCGGUGGCGAAGGCGGCGCUCUGGAACGUUCCUGACACUGAGGCACGAAAGCGUGGGGAGCAAACAGG